GAUGAACGCUGGCGGCGUGCCUAAUACAUGCAAGUCGAGCGAACGGACGAGAAGCUUGCUUCUCUGAUGUUAGCGGCGGACGGGUGAGUAACACGUGGAUAACCUACCUAUAAGACUGGGAUAACUUCGGGAAACCGGAGCUAAUACCGGAUGAUAUUUUGAACCGCAUGGUUCAAAAGUGAAAGACGGUCUUGCUGUCACUUAUAGAUGGAUCCGCGCUGCAUUAGCUAGUUGGUAAGGUAACGGCUUACCAAGGCAACGAUGCAUAGCCGACCUGAGAGGAUGAUCGGCCACACUGGGACAGAGACACGGUCCAGACUCCUACGGGAAGCAGCAGUCGGGAAUCUUCCGGCAUGGGCGUAAGCCUGACAGAGCAACGCCGCGGGAGUGGUGCAGGUCUUCGGAUCGUAAAACUCUGUUUAUAGGGAAGAACAUAUGUGUAAGUGACUGUGCACAUCUUGACGGUACCUAAUCAAGAAGCCACGGCUAACUGCGUG
RNAcentral lists this ribosomal RNA (497 nucleotides) under uncultured bacterium. RNAcentral's name for it is "partial 16S ribosomal RNA". It matches the Rfam family "Bacterial small subunit ribosomal RNA", at positions 28 to 507 of the family's 1533-position model. The record is from RNAcentral.